UACGGAGGGUGCUAGCGUUGUUCGGAAUUACUGGGCGUAAAGCGCACGUAGGCGGCUUUGUAAGUUAGAGGUGAAAGCCCAGGGCUCAACCCUGGAAUUGCCUUUAAGACUGCAUCGCUAGAAUUGUGGAGAGGUAAGUGGAAUUCCGAGUGUAGAGGUGAAAUUCGUAGAUAUUCGGAAGAACACCAGUGGCGAAGGCGACUUGCUGGACACAUAUUGACGCUGAGGUGCGAAAGCGUGGGGAGCAAACAGG
RNAcentral lists this ribosomal RNA (253 nucleotides) under uncultured bacterium. RNAcentral describes it as "partial 16S ribosomal RNA". It matches the Rfam family "Bacterial small subunit ribosomal RNA", at positions 524 to 776 of the family's 1533-position model. The record is from RNAcentral.